This 172-nucleotide non-coding RNA is filed under the name Alcanivorax sp. ALC70. Lineage: Bacteria; Pseudomonadati; Pseudomonadota; Gammaproteobacteria; Oceanospirillales; Alcanivoracaceae. The record is from RNAcentral.
UCCAUCGCGAGGUGGAAUCCGAAGGAAGCGGAAGGCAAAGCACUGGCCCGACGAACAGGAAUCGCAUACGAGGCGGUCGCCGUGGGUAAGAAGGCACCUAUCUUCAAAGCCCAGUACUUGCACGGAAGCGGCGGACGUAAAUGCGGCGGGCAUAAGUGUGAAGGUCGCGCGU